UUGUUGGUUAAGGGCUCGUAAGUAAGCAUUUCACUGUAAGGUCUACUACACCUGUUGUAUUCAGCAUUUCACUGUAAGGUCUACUACACCUGUUGUAUUCAGCAUUUCACUGUAAGGUCUACUACACCUGUUGUAUUCAGCAUUUCACUGUAAGGUCUACUUCACCUGUUGUAUUCAGCAUUUCACUGUAAGGUCUACUACACCUGUUGUAUUCAGCAUUUCACUGUAAGGUCUACGACACCUGUUGUAUUCAGCAUUUCACUGUAAGGUCUACUACACCUGUUGUAUUCAGCAUUUCACUGUAAGGUCUACUACACCUGUUGUAUUCAGCAUUUCACUGUAAGGUCUACUACACCUGUUGUAUUCAGCAUUUCACUGUAAGGUCUACUACACCUGUUGUAUUCAGCAUUUCACUGUAAGGUCAACUACACCUGUUGUAUUCAGCAUUUCACUGUAAGGUCUACUACACCUGUUGUAUUCAGCAUUUCACUGUAAGGUCUACUACACCUGUUGUAUUCAGCAUUUCACUGUAAGGUCUACUACACCUGUUGUAUUCAGCAUUUCACUGUGAGGUCUACUACACCUGUUGUAUUCAGCAUUUCACUG
Long non-coding RNA from Oncorhynchus keta (chum salmon), 606 nucleotides. RefSeq lists it as uncharacterized. The record is from RefSeq and is a predicted model, not a curated record. NCBI's taxonomy places the organism in Eukaryota, Metazoa, Chordata, Actinopteri, Salmoniformes, Salmonidae. The transcript is spliced from 3 exons.